CCUACGGGAGGCAGCAGUAAGGAAUAUUGGACAAUGGACGAAAGUCUGAUCCAGCCAUGCCGCGUGCAGGAUGAAAGCCCUAUGGGUUGUAAACUGCUUUUAUACAGGAAGAAAAACUCCGACGUGUCGGAGCUUGACGGUACUGUAAGAAUAAGGAUCGGCUAACUCCGUGCCAGCAGCCGCGGUAAU
Molecule: ribosomal RNA, 189 nt
Filed under: uncultured marine bacterium
Lineage: Bacteria
Description: partial 16S ribosomal RNA
Rfam family: Bacterial small subunit ribosomal RNA
Source: RNAcentral